GCACUGCCGAAGAGUCCCAUACUAGGAUGAAACGGCUGUCCAGUAC
RNAcentral lists this non-coding RNA (46 nucleotides) under Schistosoma haematobium. Lineage: Eukaryota; Metazoa; Platyhelminthes; Trematoda; Strigeidida; Schistosomatidae. The record is from RNAcentral.